Molecule: ribosomal RNA, 433 nt
Filed under: uncultured bacterium
Lineage: Bacteria
Description: partial 16S ribosomal RNA
Rfam family: Bacterial small subunit ribosomal RNA
Source: RNAcentral
GACGAACGCUGGCGGCGGGCCUAACACAUGCAAGUCGAACGAACUGUUCGGAGUUUGUGGCGGCUGGGGGAGUACCACGUGGGGAGGUGCACUUAGGUACGGCAUAACUCAGGGAAAGUUGAGCUAAUACCAGAUGUGCGCUUAGGGGGAAAGAUUUAUGGCCUUUCGAGCGGCGCGCGUCAGAUUCGGUAGUUGGGAAGGUAAUGGCUCGCCAAGGCGAGGAUCAGUAGCUGGUCUGAGAGGAGGAUCAGCAACAUUAGGACUGAGACACGGCCCAAACUCCUACGCAAGGGAGCAGAGGGUAAUCGUGCGCAAGGGGCGAAAGCCUGACGCAGCCAUGACGCGUAAAUGAUGAUGGUCGUAGGAAUGUAAAAUUCUUUCACCGGGGACGAUAAUGACGGUACCCGGUGAAGAAGCCCCGGCUAACUACGUG